UUAACCAAGACUGCGCUGGGAGCUGCUCUUUAAAAGGCUGUUAAAUGGCGAUCCUAUAUUUUGUAACAUCAGCAUCACUUAGAAACCUUUUAGAGAACAGUCCUCUUCCCCCACAAC
Notamacropus eugenii (tammar wallaby) is the source of this 117-nucleotide microRNA precursor. Lineage: Eukaryota; Metazoa; Chordata; Mammalia; Diprotodontia; Macropodidae. The record is from Ensembl.